RNAcentral lists this non-coding RNA (212 nucleotides) under Xanthomonas arboricola pv. juglandis. RNAcentral also lists the same sequence under 1 other name. Lineage: Bacteria; Pseudomonadati; Pseudomonadota; Gammaproteobacteria; Lysobacterales; Lysobacteraceae. The record is from RNAcentral.
UUGCCGGUGACCUUGCCGGCCAGCCAGACGAUGCGCACGCCCAGCGGUUCCAGCCAGCCACGCAGAUUGGUGAGGUGCUGCUCGGCCAGCAGCUCGGUCGGCGCGGCCAGUGCGACCUGCUUGCCCUGCUCCACCGCCAGCAUCGCCGCCAAUGCCGCAACCACGGUCUUGCCGCUGCCGACAUCGCCCUGCACCAGCCGCAGCAUCGGCGA